AUGUCCCCCUCGUACACGCGCUGCGGUUACUCAGCGCCGUCCGCACCCACCUGGCGAUUGCUCGUCAGGUUUUGUUAGCC
Molecule: small RNA, 80 nt
Filed under: Xanthomonas fragariae
Lineage: Bacteria; Pseudomonadati; Pseudomonadota; Gammaproteobacteria; Lysobacterales; Lysobacteraceae
Description: sX9 sRNA
Rfam family: Xanthomonas sRNA sX9
Source: RNAcentral